Molecule: ribosomal RNA, 400 nt
Filed under: uncultured bacterium
Lineage: Bacteria
Description: bacterial SSU rRNA
Rfam family: Bacterial small subunit ribosomal RNA
Source: RNAcentral
GCACCGGCUAACUACGUGCCAGCAGCCGCGGUAAUACGUAGGGUGCAAGCGUUAAUCGGAAUUACUGGGCGUAAAGCGUGCGCAGGCGGUUUUGUAAGACAGUGGUGAAAUCCCCGGGCUCAACCUGGGAACUGCCAUUGUGACUGCAAGGCUGGAGUGCGGCAGAGGGGGAUGGAAUUCCGCGUGUAGCAGUGAAAUGCGUAGAUAUGCGGAGGAACACCGAUGGCGAAGGCAAUCCCCUGGGCCUGCACUGACGCUCAUGCACGAAAGCGUGGGGAGCAAACAGGAUUAGAUACCCUGGUAGUCCACGCCCUAAACGAUGUCAACUGGUUGUUGGGAAUUUAUUUUCUCAGUAACGAAGCUAACGCGUGAAGUUGACCGCCUGGGGAGUACGGCCGCA